Molecule: long non-coding RNA, 12666 nt
Filed under: Ananas comosus (pineapple)
Lineage: Eukaryota; Viridiplantae; Streptophyta; Magnoliopsida; Poales; Bromeliaceae
Description: long non-coding RNA (ACOM_LNC030839)
Source: RNAcentral
UAACUUCCAAAUACAAUCCGAUUUAACAUGAUUAUUACAACUUGAUUCUUUUCAUUCUUUACAUCCCUAAGUAAGGCCGACUCAGGGUACCGCUAUCUCUGGUCUCGGUGGUAGGGCGCUAACUAUGGAGCUACGCCCUCGCCUCGCGCCGCCGCGCCGCUCACGUGUGAACCUGUAACACCCCAAAACCACGUGGGGUGAGAACCAACUCCAUGGUUCCCAGUGGGUACGGCCACCCAAGGGAAAAGCUCGACCAAUAGGUCCAAGGGAGGCAACUGCAAGUUAGUUCAAUAAACAGAUAGAUAUAUAUCUUUAUUAUGCAACUAAUAAAACCAUGCCUUGCCUCACGAAUGCAAUAAUGCCAUGCUAUAUGCGAAUCAUGCAACUAUACAAGUAGAAUAAAUGAUUUAACUUUCUAUCAUGCUAUCCAUAGCUUUUUCAUAAUUUAUACAUCUUGUCACUUUACAUCGUUGGUUAUUUGCUUCUAAGGUUUUCCUCUACCCUAGCCAAGCUAACCACCCGACUCGGUCUCGAGUCAAUCAACUGCGGAAUACCGCACCAAUACCAGGCUCGAGGUAAUGGACGUCUCACAUACACCUCAGCCCCAAAUCCACUCGACAGGGAUACUCAAUCUAUAGCUCAUAACGCUUAAUGUACAUUCACUUGGCUUUUACCCAAUUGCAUCGAGGUUCACCCAGUUCCCCUCGAACUCACAACCCAAAAUCCCGUCAAAGCAGGGGGCCUCGAAUCACCCCUAGGGACCGUCUUUAGGGACCUCGCUCCCGUGGUGACAAUUCCGGAAUGCACCGCUUGAGGGGGAGCUACCGCCCUCAAGCCAAGACUCAAUGUGAGUAUGAUCCAAUUCCCAAUUUGGGAAUGUAUAGCCAUAAGCCACAAUGCCACAAAUGCCACAAUCAUGAUAGGUUUUCUACCUAUUUAUUCAUGCCGCUCUCUAGGUCAUUCUUGUCUCAAUGCCACUCUUGGUUAAACUAUGUUUAACAACUGUGUUCUCUAUGCCAAUCAAUGUCUCUAUUGUCCAUGUCACCUUUGUUCACUAAUGUCCAAGUCCAACUCUCACAUUCACACAAUAAUAGGGUCCUAACAUACAUGUCCAUUAUGGUUCUACCUUUCUCUAUGUUCAACUUCGUUAGAAACAUGUCAUUGAAAGCAACCAAGGUUCACAUGUACUUAGCCCUAUCAUGCAUGAAUGGUACAAAAUAUAUAUGCUCAAAUGCCACAAGUGUUUGCUAGGUUCAUGACACUAGGUUCACACUAUACUUGUUCAACCUAUGUUCAAGACACUAGGUUCAUAUCAUCCAUGUUUAACCUAUGUCCAUGACUCUAGGUUUAGUGCCACUCGAUCUAAUGUAUAUAGAUUGUCCAUAUGCACACUUCCAUUUCUUAACAUUAACCACAUGCUUGCAUUUAUUAUUUCUAUAUCAUGCUUAUCAUACCAUUACUUAGCAUUAUCCACAUGCAUGCUCUACAACAUGUCAUUAUGCAUUCCUUUAAGCAUAUUCUUAUAAUGUUAACAUUCAUACGCCCUUUAUCUUAUGCAUUCAAAGCAUUAAUUAUAUACAUUUAUCUAGCAUUCUAUAAUAUGUUAACAUACUUCUUUUCACAUUCUUACAUUAUGUUAAUAUACAUUCCUUUAGCAUUUUACAUUAUAUGUCAACAUGCAUCAAUAUGAAAUCUCAUUUCUCUUAGACAUACAGGCGACCUAGUCGCUUCGGUAAGCACAACCCACCUCAUUUCGCAUUCCGAUUGCUUGUCGACAUUUGCAAUCGGCCUCCCGCGGCACCCAGCACCUGGUUUGACCCGAUCUCUCGCGCGACCACCCGAACGGCUUCCAAUCCAUGAUCCGAAAAUUAAAGGUUUUCGGUUAUGUGCCACGAUGCUUCAAAUCCAUUUUCAUGAAUUUACGAUAUCGUCUAGGCCCUCCAGGCAGAAACAAAGUCUAAACGUCAAUUUCUUUAAUAACUUCGCAACGGCUUGACGAAUCGCCGAACCGACUUCGCCAACGCGUUCGUUUACCUAUCAAUUAGAUUUACAGAGGGUCAAAUGAGAUCAAACCCUUAUAUUUACAAAACUAGCAUUUUUGAGCCCUAGAUUAUAACUAGGUAAAAAUUCACCAUUAUAGCCUUAGUUUCAAACAUCAAACCUCUAAUUAGCAUGCUAGAAUACCUCUAAAUCCAUUCUUAGAGCUUAAAAAUCAAACUAGAGAGAAAUGCCAUUAAAGGGUUUGAAACUUACCUUCAAAGCUUGCUCUCUAAUGGCCAAUGAGGAAGAUGAAGAAGAUGACUUUCCUCCAAGCUUCCUUCUCCACCAAAACCUUCAAUUUUGGGAGAGAUCUAGAGAGAGAAAAAGAGUUUUCUCUCUUUCCCUUUCCUUGCGUGUGUGUGUGUGUGUCGUGUGCGUGUGUGGUGUGCGGCCAAAGGAGAAGAAGAAGCAACAGCUUCUUCAUAAUACCCCUCAAAUACUAUUCACUCCAGGCAGCUUGAAAUCUGAUAACUUUCGCCGGAGCUCCCUGAAUGUCCGUUUGAGCUCAAACUUGACAGUCAUCUUCGGUUUUACGUACUGAGCAAGAAUAUAUUUUAAGUUUUCAGUUUCGACCCCAUUUGGUCACCGAAAACUGUGCCGAACUGUAAUCUUUAUCAGAUAACUCUCGGAUUUUAUUUCUCACUCUACGGAUGUCAGAAAAAUAUGAAACUUUAAAUCUAGCCUCAUAAAAAUAUUUCUGACUUAUUCUCCAAUUUUCAUAAUUUUCUGUGACUGUAUAUUUUCUGCUAAUUUAUUUGUCCCGUUUCCAACAGAAAAUUCUAGAUCUUCUGUUUUCAUUCCGAUUUCAGUACAAGUCACUUCUGACUUAUGUUUUACUUUUAUAAAUCCAAUAAAAAUAGUUUCUCACACUAUUUUUAUUUACUUUUAUUUUUAUACCAAAAUCUGGUAUGUUACAUUCUCCACCCCUUAAAAGAAUUUCGUCCGCGAAAUUCAAACUACGCUUCGAUUCAGCUCCGCGAGCAAUUGAGGGUACCAACUCAUUCUCCCACUCCAAAGCGGCUUUACACAAUCAUGGUUCCAGAAGCGGCUCAUACUGAAGGAUGUGGGUUUAACCCUAAACGCAUUUGCAAGGUGUGAUACAACAGUGCAUCACGGGUCUUGCAAGUCAUAGUGGCAGCGUAAGUCGGUACUCGACGACUCUACGCGCUCCAACACCACUCGUCAUUCGGCACACAAAGAACUCUUCUUUGCACUUACCUUCCCUUCAGGGAAUACAUUCUGAUUCGAUCACCGACAUUGCUUAGGAGCAAUAUCACCGCUGCAUCGUUCCGUCGCGAGUGCUCUAAUUUCGCACUGACCCUUAACUUUAACGCGAGAUGGCCCACUUCGGCACAUCUUAAGUUUUAGUUCGUUUACGAGCAUAGUCUCCAACAUCACGUGGCCUUCUACUAGCUCAAGGUCUCACCAAGAGCACUUCAUCUUCUGAUACCAUAUGCUACGGUCAACAUCGAACUAUUUCCGCAACGAGCUAGCACGAGCGCUUCGUUCGUGAAUUCGAGUCAAACCCCUCGAUAAGGCUAUCCGCCAAAUUGCUCUCUUCGGUCUCCACAGGUGGACCAAAGGCCACCAAUCCUAUGUAGGCCUACCGCCUAAACCUGUCUCAACACGCAGCGUCUCUCGUUAGCAAAUGCAGACCCAAUCAUCAUCGGGCGAAAUUCUCACUUGGGAAUUCGCACACACUCCAACCAGGAGCAACUAAGAUCCCAAACCACGGCAAGCCCUCGGGUUGGGUCACAACCAUACUCGGUGUACCAUCGGUCACACAAUCUAUCACGUGGCAUUCCACGCUCCCGGGUCUAAGCUCGGACUACCGUCCUGACCAGAACUCUGCACUACCCGUAGGUACCGGGUCACUGUCACUCACAGCUGACUGCGUCUGCGCAAUGGGCCCAGGCUCCACAGUCCACAAAUGGUCUAGGCACGGGUCGUCCCCAAGCACUACCCGCCGUCGUCGUCCUACACAACAUGCUCUACCGAGUCACACGUAUCACUACCGGCUACUAUACACCUAAUGCGAGUCACCAAUCCCACGAGUGAUCCUGUAACAUACCGAACUUCUAAAAUCAUGAAGUCACGGUGUACAUUUAAAUAGUUCCGGUGAGGUUGCGGUGGAAUGUAACAUACGGGAUUUUAAAUACAAAAGUAAAAAUAAAUAAAAAUAGUAUGAGAUACUAUUUUAUUGGAUUUAGAGAAGUGAAAUAUAGGUUGGGAAUGACCUAUGCUGAAAUCAGAGAGAAAACAGAAAAUUUAGAAUUUUCUGUGAGAAACGGGGCAGAUAAAUUAGCAGAGAAUGCACAGUGUCAGAAAAUUAUGAAAAUUGGCGGAGAUGUCAGAAAUAUUUUUAUGAGGCUAGAUUUAAAGUUUCAUAUCAUUUUGACACCCGUAGAGAGAGAAAUAAAAUCCGAAAGCUAUCUGAUAAAGAUUGUAGUUCGGUUCAGUUUUUAGUGACUAAACGGGGUCGAAACUGAAAACUUAAGAUAUAUUCUUGCUCAGUACGUUAAACUGAGCCUGCCUGUCAAAUUUGAGCGAAAAUGGACAUCCGGAAGGGCUCCAACGAAAUUUAUCAGAUUUCAAGUUGCCCGUAGUGAAUAGUGUAUAGUUGAGGGGCAAAAUGGUAAAAAGGGUUUUAAACCCCUUUUCUUCUUCUUCCUCCCAGCCGUGCUCACCCACGACACACACCCACACACGUAUGGAAGGGAGAGAGAGAAACUCUCCUUUCUCUCUCUAAAUCUCUCCCAAAAUGGAUGGAUUUGGUGGAGAUUGAAGCUUGGAGGUGAAUCGCCUUCAUCUUCUUCAUCUUCUCCACCUUGAGGGCAAGCUUGAGAGGUAAGCUUUUGCUACCCUUUAAUGGUAGAUCCUUAAUGGUUGGUUUAAAUACCUUAGAAAUGGAUUUAGAGGAAUCCUAGCAUGCUAUCUAGAUGAAUGAUGCUUGAUUCAUGAAGGAAUUUGGUGGAUUUUUAUCUAGUUGUAAAUCUAGGGUUCAAAAUACUAUUUUGGUAAAUAUGAGGGUUUGAUCUCAUUUGACCCUUCGUAAACCUAAUUGAUAGGUAAACGAACGCGUUGGCGAAGACGGUUCGGCGAUUCGUCAAGCCGGUACGAAGUUAUUAAAGGAAUGGACGUUUAGGCUUUGUUUUCGCCUGGAGGGCCGAGGCGACAUCGUAAAAUCCUGGAAACGGAUUUGAAGCACCGUAAUAGCAAAACGAAGACCCUUUUUGCCCGAGGCUGCGAAGCGAUGCGCGGUUGGUGCGUAAUUGCAAGUUCCGACGGAACCGGGCACCGGAUGCUGGGGGAGGCCGAUUGUAAGUGUCGACAAGCAAUCGGAAUGCACUAACAGGUGGGUUGUGCUUACCGAAGCGACUAGGUCGCCUUUAUGUCUAAGCGAAUUAAGAAUCCUUGUUGAUGCAUAUAAAUGUAAAUGAUGCAUGUAGCUAAUGCUAAGUGAUGUAAUGUAGAAAUGCUAACUAGAAUGUAUAAUGAGCGAGUUAAAUAAUGCAUGUAAAUGUAAAUGUAAAUGCUAACUAGAAAUGCAUAAUGAGCAAGUUACAUAAUGCUAGAUAAUGUAUGUAAUAGUAUGAUGCAAAUGCUAAGUAGAUGCAUAUAAAUGAUAUGUGAGAUUAUAAACGCAUGAUUAGCAUUGUGAGAUUAUAAAUACAUGCUUAGCAUUGCGAGAUUAUAUAUGCAUAUGAACUUGGUUGAUAACUCUAGCUUGAUUAGAGAGAUAAUGUUGGAAAAUAGAAUUUGUAUAACUAUAAUACUCGCUAUGGACAAUUAGCAUGUGAACUAGACCGAGUGGUAUCUAACCUAGUGCUAAUAAACAUAGGUCGGACAUAGUGAUGUUGAACCUAGUGUUAGUGAACAUAGGUUGAACUAGUAAACCUAGAGUUUAUAACCUAGGUUGUGAUAUAGUAAACCUAGAGUGGCUUGAACCUAGGUUGUUGUGUAUAAUGGUAGCAACCACUAGAUUGUAUUAGGUCGACAGCAUAGGGUUGGUUAUGGACCCUCGACCUGUGUAAGUGGAUUCCGGAAUCCCAGGAUCUUUGAUGACCUUGGUAUCAAGGCUAGGGCGUGUGCGACGACUUCGCCGCCGAGGUCGAUACCAAGGAUGGAUUGGGGGUGAAUGCGCAGAGAUUACCGCCCGGGGCUUGAACCAUUGUCGUGGCGUGUGCAACGAUUUCGCCGCUCGAUGGUUAAGCCAGUUUGUGGAUUAUGCCGCCAGAUCGACUCGAGCCAUUGUUGGGUGAGGUGCGAUUCGUUCGCCGCCAGAUGGCCAAGUCAAGGGACUUGAACCAGUGUUCGGCGUGUGCGACGACUUCGGCGCCAGCUGGUUAAGUCACAUAGUGCAGCCAGUGCGCGGACUAUCAGCGGAUGAUUGACUCGAGGCCGAGUCGGGUGGUUAGCUUGAUUAGGUUAAUAGAAACCUUAUAAGCUAGUGAUAAAGGUAAGAGCUAAGGUAAUAGAGACCUUAGAGGCAAUGUGAACUUGAGUUGUGAACUAAGGUAGUAGAACCUUAGAUGCUAAAUGACAUGAGCUAAAGUUAGUAGAGUUGAGUGUAGAAUCAAUAGAUCUACUGAAUGGUUGCAUAAUUGCAUAGAACUGCCUGAUAUACAUAUUGCAUAUUGCGAGGCAUGUUAUCUGUUAGUUGCAUAAUAAACUGAUGAUUUAUAUAUCUAUAGAUGUUUUUGGACUAACAUGAUUGCAGUACCUCCUUGGACCUUUUGGUCGAGCUUUUUCCUUGGGUGGCCGUACCCACUGGGAACCAUGGAGUUGGUUCUCACCCCACGUUGUUUUGGGGUGUUACAGGUUCGUACGUGAGCGGCGCGGCGGCGCGAGGAAAGGGCAUAGCUCCGUAGAUAGCGCCCUACCCCAGAGACCAGAGCUAGCAGUACCCCGUCGACAUAGCUUAGGGGUUAAGGAAAUAAAAAGAACACAAUGGAACAUAAUGUAUCAAAUUUGUAAUAAGUAAAGGUUGUAAUAACUUAGUUUGCAUUUGGAUAAAAAGAAUAGUAAAUGUGAUGUAAAAUGUAUGCAAUGUGAAUGUUGUAAUAAUAUAGGAUGUGUUUAUGUUGUUUGAUACCUUCCAUUAUGCAAUCUUGAUUGAUAUCAGUUCUUGAUUGGAACCUUCGUAUUGUAUUGAUUGCGUUGCCUUGAACGUACAGGGGAGACUCUGUCUGCAGUACAGGGGAAACCCUGUCCGUUCGGCACUGGCGACGCCACGACCUCGGCCAAAUGGGCUGGUGGUCGCAGGUUGUGACAGAUCUAUGGCACGCUUCGCACCUAGCGAUGCUCAAGUGCUACUGCCAAUACACUCUCUCGGCUGAACCCACAUCCGUAUUCUACGGAUAUCUACACUCGAGCGCUCUACGCCUCUACAGCGUUUCACACGGAGUCCAGCAUUAGGCGAUCUUGCCUAUGCACACCGACUGCACGAGCACAACCGCCUACCUCACCUUGAGGUACUACUAGGCCCACGUGCUCAAACGUGGCCACUAAUCGACCGUUCUCUCAACAGUGAUGCUACUUUCACUGUUCGACCUACCGGAAUGACAUCCGAAAUUUUCGGACCACUCGGGUGUUCUCAUAAGCGUCAUGGCUCAACUCUCACAAUUUACUAUUCAUAAUUGCUCUGAGAGUCGUUUCGCCACUUCUAUCUCUACCGCGAGUCUCACUUCUCGCCAUAGAUUACUUCUAGCACUUCGCUAGUGCAAUCUGGCUCUAUACCUGUACUGGCAGGUACUACGCUCUCACAUAAUACAAAACUCUAUUUCUAGAGCAAUCAAAUCUAUCUCUAGAAAUCCACCAUGAGAGAGAGCUUAGAAGUUUACCUCUCCGAGAAGCUCCAACCGAAGAGAAGAUAAAGAAGAUGAGGAAGACCUCCUUCUCCUUCUCUUUCUUUCCUUUCUUUUCUUCUUCCUCUUCUUGUCUUCUAGAGAGAGAAAGAGAGAUAUGAGAGGGUGUGUGGGUGAGAAAUGAGAGAAAAGAGCUCUCAUACCCCUAACAUAGCCCCACAUGUUGCAUAAGUGCAAACAAGCCCCUCAACUUUUAUUCUUUUACACUGCCCUGACUGGGCCAUUUUCGGGUUCGGGGACCGGUCUCUCCGACGAGGGACCGGUCUCCAAGGGCUUCUCCCCGCGGUCAGCAGAGCUCACGCUCGACGCAACCGGUCUCCCCCGAUGGGACCGGUCUCUUGGGGACCGGUCUCUCCCCGCAGGGACCGGUUCCCGAGAGCUGUGCACCGGGAACUUAGCCGAUUUUCUCUCGUCUUGCUGCCUGUGCGUUCGGGGACUGGUCUCUCCCCACAGGAUCCGGUCUCCGAGAACAGAAAACCUGCAGUUUGCAAAUUUUCAUUUCCAAGGCUCUCGAAGAUCCCCAGUAAUGCACUUUUGCAUUAUUUGACGCCUUCGGCCUUUCCAAAGCGUACCAACCUCGCUCUUUGGUCAAUUUGACCAAGGUUUAAUACUUGGUUACCGAAAUUUCGGAAUAUUACAUACCCACUCGACAACUAGUCGAUCCCGGACGAAGUCCAACUCUCGGCUCUCGAGAAUUCACUUCGUUACAACCAUGCUAUACCUGUACACCCCUGGUGUUAAAUCGGUAACACAUGUUUCAGAAUUUCGAUUUUGCACCGUUUCGACUCCAAUUCGCGUCGAGCAAUACUAAAACUAUUCUAACUCUUUUAGAAAUUAAUUCUAACCCUUCCAACAUUGUUGGAAUGUUAAUUGGACUUUGUCAAACUACUUCUCUCGAUGCACUUUGGUCAAUUUGACCCAAAAGUGAUCUAACACGACGAGAAUUCCAUUAAUUUCUCAAAGAUCAUGAGAGACGCCAAAACUCGCGAAGUUCCCAAUCUCCGCUCGCCUCAAUUUGCCCAGGGACACCACUUGGCCCAUCCCGCGCCGAUCUAAACGAAGAUCGCCUACGCGGCUAGCGCUUCCUAAAAUGCGAUAACUCUAUUAAUCCUCGACCUUCUAAGUCGGACACGAGACACUUAAUACCGACUCAAAUCGGGCGAAAGUCACGCAAGGGCGUCUACUCUCAUCACUCGGCUUCAUGUUGUGUGCACCCAACAUGAACACCCUCUGUCGAGAAUAAACCUCACCCUGAGUCUACCUCUAACAUCCGUUUUAGAGGUUUAUGAUACAACCCAAUCAAUUAACCUUUCGCCAAAAGUCACAAGUCCUCGUCUCUCACGAGUCUUAAUCUCCUACGAUUUACUAUCCUAGGGUCUCCUAGGUCCAACUAAACUAUUUUUUAUUAUUCUUUUUAUGUUUCCUUUAUGCUCUGAUACCAUCUUAUCUGUCACGCCCCACGACCGCCCGCCUAUUUGGCCGGGUCGCGGCGCCGCAACAGACCGCCGAACGGACAGGGUUUUCUCUGUACCGCGGAUAGAGUCUCCCCUGUACAUUCAAAGCGUUGCAAUCAAUACAAUGUACAAAGUUCCAACCAGGAACACAUUUCAAUCAAAGAUUGCAUAAUGGAAGAUAUCAAACAACAUAACACAUUCUAUGUUAUUACAUGCAUUCACAUUCAUAUAUUUUUACAUCACAAUUCUCACAGUACAUUUACACUAGCUUUCACUUAACUUCCAAAUACAAUCCGAUUUAACAUGAUUAUUACAACUUGAUUCUUUUCAUUCUUUACAUCCCUAAGUAACCGACUCGGGGUACCGCUAUCUCUGGUCUCGGUGGUAGGGCGCUAACUAUGAGGCUACGCCCUCGCCUCGCGCCGCCGCGCAGCUCACGCGUGAACCUGUAACACCCCAAAACCACGUGGGGUGAGAACCAACUCCAUGGUUCCCAGUGGGUGCGGCCACCCAAGGGAAAAGCUCGACUAAUAGGUCCAAGGGAGGCAACUGCAAGUUAGUUCAAUAAACAGAUAAAUAUAUAUCUUUAUUAUGCAACUAAUAAAAUCAUGCCUUGCCUCACGAAUGUAAUAAUGCCAUGCUAUAUGCGAAUCAUGCAACUAUACAAGUAGAAUAAAGGAUUUUACUUUCUAUCAUGCUAUUCAUAACUUUUCCAUAAUUUUAUACAUCCUGUCACUUUACAAUCAUUGGUUACUUGCUCCUAAGGUUUUCCUCUACCCUAGCCAAACUAACCACCCGACUCGGUCUCGAGUCAAUCAACUGCGGAAUACCGCACCAAUACCAGGCUCGAGGUAAUGGACGUCUCACAUACACCUCAGUCCCAAAUCCACUCGACAGGGAUACUCAAUCUAUAGCUCAUAACGCUUAAUGUACAUUCACUUGGCUUUUACCCAAUUGCAUCGAGAUUCACCCAGUUCCCCUCGAACUCACAACCCAAAAUCCCGUCAAAGCAGGGGGCCUCGAACCACCCCUAGGGACCGUCCUUCGGGGCCACUAUCCCCGUGGUGACCUACUCCGGAGCGCACCGCUUGAGGGGGAGCUACCUCCCUCAAGCCAAGACUUAUCGUGAGUAUAGAUCUAAUCCUCAUCUUGAGGAUUCAUAGCCACUUGUCACAAUGCCAUUGUCAUGAUAGGUUUUCUACCUAUUUAUUCAUGCCGCUCUCUAGGCCAUUCUUGUCUCAAUGCCACUCUUGGUUAAACUAUGUUUAACAACUAUGUUCUCUAUGCCAAACAAUGUCUCUAUUGUCAAUGUCACAUUUGUUUACUAUAUCCAAGUCCAACUCUCACAUUCACACAAUUAUAGGGUCCUAAUAUACAUGUCCAUUAUGGUUCUACCAUUUUCUAUGUUCAACUACGUUAGAACAUGUCAUUGAAAGCAAUCAAGGUUCACAUGUACUUAGCCCUAUCAUGCAUGAAUGAUACGUAAUAUAUAUACUCAAAUGCCACAAAUGUUUGCUAGGUUCAUGACACUAGGUUUACACUAUGCUUGUUCAACAUAUGUUCAAUACACUAGGUUUAAUGCCACUUGAUGUCCAACCUAUGCUUUUUGACACUAGGUUCAUAUCAUCCAUGUUCAAUCUAUGUCCAUGACUCUAGGUUUAGUGCCACUCGAUCUAAUGUAUAUAGAUUGUCCAUAUGGACAUUUUCAUUCCUUAACAUUAACUACAUGCUUGCAUUUAUUAUUUCUAUAUCAUACUUAUCAUACCAUUACUUAGUAUUAUCCACAUGGAUGCUCUACAACAUAUCAUUAUGCAUUCCUUUAAGCAUAUUCUUAUAAUGUUAACAUUCAUACGCCCUUUAUCUUAUGCAUUCAAAGCAUUAAUCACAUGCAUUUAUCUAGCAUUCUAUAAUAUGUUAACAUACUUCUUUUCACAUUCUUACAUUAUGUCAAUAUGCAUUCCUUUAGCAUUUUACAUUAUAUGUCAACAUGCAUCAAUAUGAAAUCUCAUUUCUCUUAGACAUACAGGCGACCUAGUCGCUUCGGUAAGCACAACCCACCUCAUUUCGCAUUCCGACUGCUUGUCGACACUUGCAAUCGGCCUCCCGCAGUACCUGGCACCCGGUUUGACCCGAUCUAUCGCGCGACCACCCGAACGGCCUCCAAUCCACGAUCCGAAAAUUAAAGGUCUUCGGUUAUGUGUCACGAUACUUCAAAUCCAUUUUCAUGAAUUUACGAUAUUGCCUCGACCCUCCAGGCGGAAACGAAGCCUAAACGUCCAUUUCUUUAAUAACUUCGCAACGGCUCGACGAAUCGCCGAACCGACUUCGCCAACGCGUUCGUUUACCUAGCAAUUAGGUUUCCAGAGGGUCAAAUGAGAUCAAACCCUCAUAUUUACAAAACUAGCAUUUUUUAGCCCUAGAUUACAACUAGAUAAAAAUCCACCAUUAGAGCCUUGGUUUCAAGCAUCAAACCUCUAAUUAGCAUGCUAGAAUAUCUCUAAACCCAUUCUUAGAGUUUAAAAAUCAAACUAGAGAGAAAUGCCAUUGAAGGGUUUGAAGCUUACCUUCAAAGCUUGCUCUCUAAUGGCCAAUGAUGAAGAUGAAGAAGACUUUCCUCUAAGCUUCCUUCUCCACCAAAGCCUUCAAUUUUGGGAGAGAUCUAGAGAGAGAAAAGGAGUUUUCUCUCUUUCCCUUUCCUUGUGUGUGUGUGUCGUGUGCGUGUGUGGUGUGCAGCCGAAGGAGAAGAAGAAGCAACAGCUUCUUCAUAAUACCCCUCAAACACUAUUCACUCCAGGCAGCUUGAAAUCUGAUAACUUUCGUCGGAACUCUCUGAAUGUCCGUUUGAGCUCAAACUUGACAGUCAUAUUCGGUUUUAUGUAUUGAGCAAGAAUAUAUUUUAAGUUUUCAGUUUCGACCCCAUUUGGUCACAAAAAAUUGUGCCGAACUGUAAUCUUUAUCAGAUAACUCUCGGAUUUUAUUUCUCACUCUACGGGUGUCAGAAAAAUAUGAAACUUUAAAUCUAGCCUCAUAAAAAUAUUUCUGACUUAUUCUCCGAUUUUCAUAAUUUUCUGAGACUGUGUAUUUUCUGCUAAUCUAUCUGUUCCGUUUCCAACAGAAAAUUCUAGAUCUUCUAUUUUCAUUCCGACUUCAGCACAAGUCACUUCUGACUUAUAUUUUACUUCUAUAAAUCCAAUAAAAAUAGUUUCUCAUACUAUUUUUAUUUACUUUUAUUUUUAUACCAAAAUCUGGUAUGUUAUAAUUUUAAACUUGAAUUAAAUUUUUAGAAUUCACAAUUAAAGCUAAUA